This 220-nucleotide long non-coding RNA is filed under the name Carica papaya (papaya). RNAcentral's name for it is "long non-coding RNA (CPAP_LNC011465)". Lineage: Eukaryota; Viridiplantae; Streptophyta; Magnoliopsida; Brassicales; Caricaceae. The record is from RNAcentral.
AAAAGCUUGAGUCCAUAAAAGAUACCCUAUAACUCAGUAGCUACGGCCCGAUCCACACCCUAAUUGCUCAUGAAGUCAGACACCCAUUUGUUAUGGUUAUCCCUAAUGACGGGGGAGAGUAUGGAGAUGAUCGAAUCAACUCUUAUAACUCACUCAACAUUAAGAAAUACCGAAACUUCAACCGUUUAGAUAAAUUCUUCUCUCUAAUUGAAUCUACAAU